Molecule: ribosomal RNA, 500 nt
Filed under: uncultured bacterium
Lineage: Bacteria
Description: partial 16S ribosomal RNA
Rfam family: Bacterial small subunit ribosomal RNA
Source: RNAcentral
AUUGAACGCUGGCGGCAUGCCUUACACAUGCAAGUCGAACGGCAGCACGGGAGCAAUCCUGGUGGCGAGUGGCGAACGGGUGAGUAAAGUAUCGGAACGUGCCCAGUUGGGGGGGAUAACGUAGCGAAAGUUACGCUAAUACCGCAUACGAUCUAUGGAUGAAAGCGGGGGAUCGCAAGAACUCGCGCGAUUGGAGCGGCCGGUAUCAGAUUAGGUAGUUGGUGGGGUAAAGGCCCACCAAGCCGACGAUCUGUAGCUGGUCCGAGAGGACGACCAGCCACACUGGGACUGAGACACGGCCCAGACUCCUACGGGAGGCAGCAGUGGGGAAUUUUGGACAAUGGGCGAAAGCCUGAUCCAGCCAUGCCGCGUGCAGGAUGAAGGCCUUCGGGUUGUAAACUGCUUUUGUACGGAACGAAAAGGACUGCCCUAAUACGGUGGUCCCAUGACGGUACCGUAAGAAUAAGCACCGGCUAACUACGUGCCAGCCGCCGCCGUAA